AUAAAUGUGAAUAUCGGAUUUGUUUUCACCUCGCGUUAUGAAGAAAAAAUCGUUUUGCACGAAAUGCGAUGAAAAUAAAAUGUUUUUUUUACAUUAUGAAUAAUCUCUAACUUAAGUGUCUUCUAUAAUUAUAAAUUUGCAAAUGGUGUUUUAGCUCGAUUAGUACACGGAAAUAUACUUUAGACCAAUAAACAGCACGAUUUUGUUCGCGUUUUAUUUCAUUGAUUAUAAAAACAUUUUCUAAACUUUAUCAGUGUUUAUGAUACUGUUGUGAAGAAUGUGAGUUUUCACGUUUUGACAUAUCAUUUACCCAAAGAAUUUCUAGGACAGAGGAAGAACAGAGCAUUCUUGUCUGGAAAAAAAAAACGUUCAUGAUUUAUAAUUUCAUAUUAUAAAAAAACAGAUGUUUCCAAGGAAACGGAAUCGCAGGUAUUUAAAAACCAAUAUGUGUACAAAAGAAUGUUACACUGACCAACGCAAAAGCCCAUUCAGCCUAGAUAUGAAGCUGGAAACGAAUUACAACAUAUGAAAUAAAAAGCAGAUGUUUUCCUCAACAGUCCGCCAAUUUGAAUUGGAUCUGGAAAUCGAUUACCAUAUGAACAAUAACGAUUACCAUAUCAACAAUAAAUGGUCCAGUGACAUGGAAGGAAACAAGUUAGUAAAGAAAAAGUGUUGAAUGAUGGGGAAAGAGACAGUGCGGUUUCCGUUACCGUCAGUCUGACUGAAGUAUACGAUAUCUGAAGACCUAUUAUUCAAGUUCUUCUUUGAAAACAGGUUACAUUCUGUUACUUGUAACAUGCGUAAAUGUUGAGUUCUGCUCAACCCGGGGCUAGAGGGCGUGGACGGUAGCCAAUACAGUAAGCAUAGAAUGCAACCAUGCAGACUCAAACCAGAAAAUAUAACAACACGGAAUCCAAGUACGGGGAGACAUUUUAUAACCACUAGACAGCAGUUAAAGUCUGCUGCUGUGAUAGAAGAGUCUCAGUAUAACCACCUAACAAGACAGCACUGGAUUCUUUUAUUCUGGAAAUUAAACAUUAAAAGUACGUUAGUCGUUCAAAAGCUGUGACAACUGUUAAACAGCUCUGGAAGAAUUGGAUUUUAAUCACUUACUUCUUCGUGUAAAGGUUUUAUCGCAAUAAUAUUUCCUGGAAACAUUUUACUUUUGAGAUAAAUCUUUUCAGUAAACUUCGCUUUAUCAAGAUGAAUUUUAAAGUAUCACGAUAGCUACCUAGCUAUCACGUGGCAGAAAUAUGCCACCAUAGAUGUUUAGUACUUCCGCGAAAUGCGAUAAAAGCUCUACCAGACAUGUUUAAUGGGUUUUGAACCUAAAGCGGGAUUUUUAUCAGAUAUUAAGAAUGUGUACAGGUAUUAAGCUUGAAGCAAGUGAAAGAUAUUAAUGUAGCCUAUGUACAAAUGUCAGACUGAAAUUCAGUUUUCUUUGGUUGUUGAAGCAGUAUAUAAUUGUAUGUGAAUCGAAGUGCCUUCUUUUCAGUUCUACAAAUCGAUUUUCACAAUUUAAUAUGCAAAAUGUAUCCAUAGCAAAAGCUUAUAGGUAGUGAACCCGUAUCGAAUCGACAUGUUUCGCGGUCAGUAGUAGCAAGCUGGGCAGUUAGGUAAUUAAACUCGGAAAUCAAAAUAAAAAUGAAAAAUUAUUACACAAUAUUUAACAUCUACAGUAUAUUUAUAGUGAAGAUGCCAUUUAGCAAAAAUGCUUAUUUUUCAACAACUUUCUACUUGCUUUAUAAAAAUAAAAGUUAACAAUUGCUGAAAACUAUGUUACACCUAGUUAUGUGAUAUUUCAGCAUAGGGCCUUUAUUGCAAAAGCAUCUAAAUGAAGAUGCGUAACAGUUCGUUUUUUAAAAGCGCUGAACUGUCAAAAUGUGUGGCCAGUUUAUGCAGUACUUUUCCUGAAAUUCAAAGUAUAAUUACAUCAGUAAAUUGGCAAUCGUUUUGUAGAGUAAUAUACGUUUUUAUAUGAUGUUAUAUUGCCAUGCAAAACAACUAUUUCUUUCUUUGAUUGGUGUGGUUUCAUUUGUUUUCCAAAACAUAGACAUAGCCGUUAAAUAAAAGUGCAUGGUGAGAGAUAAUUGUAAACAUGGAAACGUGCAUGAGAGCAUGCAAGCAUUUUUUUUUGCAUACAAGAGAAUCUGUUACAACACACUGAUAAGCAGACUGCAGUCUGCAGUUAUUUCUACAUUCCAGUUCGAUAUUAUUAAAAUGUUUCGCACAACUCAUAAAGAACUUAAAAGAACUGACUCUUAACACCUGACACUAAUUAAAGCCAUUCACAACGUUGCUAUUUGACAAAACAUAUCCGUUAUUACCGCAUAGGUAUUGAAGAUGUAUCUUAUUUUAAUUUUAAAACCAAUUGUGUAUUACAAUUAUGCUUAAAUAUCUCA
Long non-coding RNA from Mercenaria mercenaria, 2402 nucleotides. RefSeq lists it as uncharacterized. The transcript has 3 exons. The record is from RefSeq and is a predicted model, not a curated record. Lineage: Eukaryota; Metazoa; Mollusca; Bivalvia; Venerida; Veneridae.